This 94-nucleotide transfer RNA is filed under the name Streptomyces albospinus. Its description in RNAcentral is "tRNA-Leu". Lineage: Bacteria; Bacillati; Actinomycetota; Actinomycetes; Kitasatosporales; Streptomycetaceae. The record is from RNAcentral.
GUCUGCGCUGGUGGAGAGGGCGGCGGCGAUCUGUUCCAGGGACAGGUCGGUGGUGAAGCGCAGUCGGCGGCGUUCGUGAGCGUCGGGUAGACGC